Long non-coding RNA from Papaver somniferum (opium poppy), 1432 nucleotides. RefSeq lists it as uncharacterized. Lineage: Eukaryota; Viridiplantae; Streptophyta; Magnoliopsida; Ranunculales; Papaveraceae. The record is from RefSeq and is a predicted model, not a curated record. The transcript has 6 exons.
AUUUGGUUCUCUUCCCCUCAUCUUCUGUUUUAUUCUCCAUAAACCCUAACUUUUGAGACCUAUUCACCAACUAAAAUUGAGGAGAUCGAAGAAGAUAGUUGAGGUUAAGAGCUCUGGGUUAGUCCAUAUGUGAAAAGGACUUUGAAGAUGACUCUGUAUGUGACAGAUCAAGCUUUGGCUGUGAUGAAAGAUGUUAGUGGUAGUUCAGAUUUUCAAUUGCAACAACCCAAGAUGUUGAACAGUACAAUGGCAAUGGAGCAAUGGUGCCAGCGAAAAGAAGGUUUCCAUAAGUCUGCAGGUGCAAGAGGCUCUGGGGAUGUUGAUCAAUCUCAUGGGCCUGGUUCAAAAUCUGAACUUAGAGAGUAAAGUAGCUAUGAUGUUGAACGUGUUAAUCGGGAGCAUGUAAACUCAGAACCAUUCAACAUAAAGCUAGCAUUGACUUCUUCGACAAAUGAUAAACAAAAAGUGGCACAACAUAAGUAAGGGUAUGGAGGAAGCUAAUAGCGAUUGUGAUGUUCAUAAUUCAAGGUUAUGGUGGUCUUGGUGUCCUGCAUCUUGGAGUAGCUCCUGCAUAUUCGCAGUUGGACCCAUAGUAGCGAGUUUUCUGAAUGUUCACUGUAAUCAAGACAUCGAUAGGCAGGUUUUAGAGAAUUGGAGAUGGCAUAGCUUGCUUUGGUCUUCAUCCUGUGGUGGAGUAUGACAUUCAACUUCUUCUUGCAGAGUUAGGAUGAUUAGUCGAGUAAGUAAGUGGUUCAACUUCAAGCAAUGAAUGCAAAGUACUACUUGAGAAAAUGAGAAAAUGAUGAGGUUAUUCUUUUCUAGCUAAAAAAAUGCCUUUGUGCGGCUAGCGAGUUUUAAAGUAUGACUGAAGCAGUAUUACUCAGAAAUUGAUAGUGGCAGAAUGUGAAGCUGCAUGCCUGCAUCAUUCAAAAGGAGAUGGAAUUCACUAAUGCAAGAAUCGUAGCGUCUUUGCAAUAUUGCGGCAUCUUCAAAGUCUGACGGAAGAAAUAUUACUCAGAAAUUUAUAAUGGUAGAAUGUGAAGCUGCAUCAUCAUAAGGAGAUGGGGAUUCACCAAUGCUGGAAACAUAGCAUGUGCAAUAGUGAAAGGCAACUUCAAAAAUUGAGGACAUGCACUACCUACACCGUAAGAGGGAAACGAAGGGUACAAGUCAUCUUUAGAGGAUGGCAGACUUGCACCGAAAGAUAAACAGAUUUGUUUGUGACGUUUCCCCAUUCAAUUAGAGCUUUUCACCAUCUGAAACAGCAUGCCUAGAGAUGCAGCAAGUUAAUCAGUUAGGAGGAUUGGUAUAUAUGUUGGAAACUUGCAUCAUGAAUGUGGUAUUACACUGAUUAGAUACCUUGCAUCGUCACUGGAUUAGUUGUACCCAGAUAUUAUAUGAUAGAGCAAACCAAAUCUCAUGUUCAUGCUUA